GACGAACGCUGGCGGCGUGCUUAACACAUGCAAGUCGAACGGAAAUGCCCUGCUUUUGUGUGGUUCUCGAGUGGCGAACGGGUUAGUAACACGUAAGUAACCUGCCCUUGACUUUGGGAUAACUUCAGGAAACUGGGGCUACUACCAGAUAGGAGCUCCUGCUGCAUGGUGGUGGUUGGAACGUUUCGGCUGUGUGGGAUGGACUCGCGGGUUAUCAGCUUGUUGGUGGGGUAGUGGCUUACCAAGGCUUUGACGGGUAGCCGGCCUGAGAGGGUGAACGGCGACAUUGGGACUGAGAGAGGGAGCAGACUCGAAUGGGAGGCAGCAGGGGGGAAUAUGGCACAAUGGGCGGGAGUGUGAGGCAGAAACGUCGGGUGCGGGAUGACGGGCUGCGGGUUGUGAACCGGUGUGGGCUGAGACGAAGAGGGAGUGACGGUAAUGAGUAAAGAAGCAACGGCUAACUACGUG
This 468-nucleotide ribosomal RNA is filed under the name uncultured bacterium. RNAcentral's name for it is "partial 16S ribosomal RNA". It matches the Rfam family "Bacterial small subunit ribosomal RNA", at positions 28 to 507 of the family's 1533-position model. The record is from RNAcentral.